GACGAACGCUGGCGGCGUGCUUAACACAUGCAAGUCGAACGGAAAGGCCUGCUUUCCCUUGUGGAUUGCGGGUGCUCGAGUGGCGAACGGGUGAGUAACACGUGAGUGAUCUGCCCCCAACUUGGGUAUAAGCCUGGGAAACUGGGUCUAAUUCCCGAUAGGACUGCAGGGUGGUGCCUGUGGUGGAAAACGAUUUUCUAGUGGUUGGGGAUGAGCUCGCGGCCUAUCAGCUUGUUGGCGGGGUAAUGGCCUACCAAGGCGGCGACGGGUAGCCGGCCUGAGAGGGUGGACGGCCACAUUGGGACUGAGAUACGGCCCAGACUCCUACGGGAGGCAGCAGUGGGGAAUAUUGCACAAUGGGCGGAAGCCUGAUGCAGCGACGCCGCGUGGGGGAUGACGGCCUUCGGGUUGUAAACUCCUUUCGACCGCGAGGAAGCCACCUGGUUGGAAGGGUGGUGACGGUAGUGGUAGAAGAAGCACCGGCUAACUACGUG
RNAcentral lists this ribosomal RNA (494 nucleotides) under uncultured bacterium. Its description in RNAcentral is "partial 16S ribosomal RNA". It matches the Rfam family "Bacterial small subunit ribosomal RNA", at positions 28 to 507 of the family's 1533-position model. The record is from RNAcentral.